This 253-nucleotide ribosomal RNA is filed under the name uncultured prokaryote. RNAcentral's name for it is "partial 16S ribosomal RNA". It matches the Rfam family "Bacterial small subunit ribosomal RNA", at positions 524 to 776 of the family's 1533-position model. The record is from RNAcentral.
UACGUAGGGUGCGAGCGUUGUCCGGAAUUACUGGGCGUAAAGAGCUCGUAGGUGGUUUGUCGCGUUGUUCGUGAAAUCUCACGGCUUAACUGUGAGCGUGCGGGCGAUACGGGCAGACUUGAGUACUGCAGGGGAGACUGGAAUUCCUGGUGUAGCGGUGAAAUGCGUAGAUAUCGGGAGGAACGCCGGUGGCGAAAGCGACUGUCUGGGGUGCCUGUGACGCUGAGGCGCGAAAGCCAGGGGAUCAAACGGG